CGGAGGCUGCCCUGUCUGACUCCUGCCCACACAGACCCAGGCUGAGGACAGAGCUCAGGGGGUGGAAAGUAGCUCCAGGCUACCUUGCCUGCACCUGGCCACCUCACCCGCACUUGGCCCUCCCGAGGAGAGGCUGCGUUCUGCUGCCACGUCUAGGACACUCAGUGGGGAGAGACGCCCAGGGGCCACCCCCUCUGUAGCGUGGUGGAGCCUUCCUGCUGGGGUGUGGCUGAAGGGCCUGUUCCAUCUGGAGCUGCGUGUGGCUGGUGAAGAACAGGUGUUACAGCCCAUGGGGGAUCUAACAGGACCUGGCCCUCAUAUCCCGGCUGGCUGCAGAGCAGACCCCAUCUGGCCACCGCGGGACAUCCCCCCACCUCGAGCAGAGCCCCGCCGGUCCCCAGGCUUCAUCACAUUCUGCCAGGUCUGCUGUGGGUCCUGCCACAAUGUCUGGAGGGAAUUAUAGGGGAGAGGGAGGUGCCCCCCCCCCCUUCCUAGGACCCAUCUCAGCUGGCAGUGGUGGGCCAGAUGGGGGCCAGGAUGGCCGAGCCACCGACCCCAGCGCAUCUGUCCCGGUUUUAUGUUUCUGUGAAACGCAAAUUGCAUUUGAUGGCUUCGGGCACCCCUGCAAGGUGUGGAAUGUGG
RNAcentral lists this long non-coding RNA (642 nucleotides) under Ursus maritimus (polar bear). Its description in RNAcentral is "lncRNA (ENSUMAG00000019256.1)". The record is from RNAcentral. Lineage: Eukaryota; Metazoa; Chordata; Mammalia; Carnivora; Ursidae.